AAAAGGUUAGUUAAAUUAACAUUAGUAUGUCAUGCUGAAAUUAUUGGUUUACCCCAGUACCUUUUG
This 66-nucleotide transfer RNA is filed under the name Siphlonurus aestivalis. RNAcentral describes it as "tRNA-Asp". The record is from RNAcentral. Lineage: Eukaryota; Metazoa; Arthropoda; Insecta; Ephemeroptera; Siphlonuridae.